GUCUUCGUGGUAUAGUGGUCAGCACGCUCGACGCAUAACCGAGAGGUCCGUGGUUCGAUUCCCGGAGAAGGCG
RNAcentral lists this transfer RNA (73 nucleotides) under Stegodyphus mimosarum. It matches the Rfam family "tRNA". Rfam says of the family: Transfer RNA (tRNA) molecules are approximately 80 nucleotides in length. Their secondary structure includes four short double-helical elements and three loops (D, anti-codon, and T loops). Lineage: Eukaryota; Metazoa; Arthropoda; Arachnida; Araneae; Eresidae. The record is from Rfam by way of RNAcentral.